RNAcentral lists this ribosomal RNA (448 nucleotides) under uncultured bacterium. Its description in RNAcentral is "bacterial SSU rRNA". It matches the Rfam family "Bacterial small subunit ribosomal RNA", at positions 355 to 825 of the family's 1533-position model. The record is from RNAcentral.
UGGGGAAUAUUGGACAAUGGGCGCAAGCCUGAUCCAGCCAUGCCGCGUGAGUGACGAAGGUCUUCGGAUUGUAAAGCUCUUUUUGGCGGGGACGAUAAUGACGGUACCCGCAGAAUAAGCCCCGGCUAACUUCGUGCCAGCAGCCGCGGUAAUACGAAGGGGGCUAGCGUUGUUCGGAAUCACUGGGCGUAAAGCGCACGUAGGCGGAUUUGUUAGUCAGGGGUGAAAUCCCGGGGCUCAACCUCGGAACUGCCUUUGAUACUGGCAAUCUAGAGUCCGGAAGAGGUUAGUGGAAUUCCCAGUGUAGAGGUGAAAUUCGUAGAUAUUGGGAAGAACACCAGUGGCGAAGGCGGCUAACUGGUCCGGUACUGACGCUGAGGUGCGAAAGCGUGGGGAGCAAACAGGAUUAGAUACCCGAGUAGUCCCUGAGCGGGCUGGCAAGGCGCAU